UCAGCUCGUGUCGUGAGAUGUUGGGUUAAGUCCGUAACGAGCGCAACCCUUGUCCUUAGUUACCAGCACGUUAUGGUGGGCACUCUAAGGAGACUGCCGGUGACAAACCGGAGGAAGGUGGGGAUGACGUCAAGUCAUCAUGGCCCUUACGGCCUGGGCUACACACGUGCUACAAUGGUCGGUACAAAGGGUUGCCAAGCCGCGAGGUGGAGCUAAUCCCAUAAAACCGAUCGUAGUCCGGAUCGCAGUCUGCAACUCGACUGCGUGAAGUCGGAAUCGCUAGUAAUCGUGAAUCAGAAUGUCACGGUGAAUACGUUCCCGGGCCUU
Molecule: ribosomal RNA, 327 nt
Filed under: uncultured Pseudomonas sp.
Lineage: Bacteria; Pseudomonadati; Pseudomonadota; Gammaproteobacteria; Pseudomonadales; Pseudomonadaceae
Description: bacterial SSU rRNA
Rfam family: Bacterial small subunit ribosomal RNA
Source: RNAcentral